RNAcentral lists this ribosomal RNA (484 nucleotides) under uncultured bacterium. RNAcentral describes it as "partial 16S ribosomal RNA". It matches the Rfam family "Bacterial small subunit ribosomal RNA", at positions 30 to 507 of the family's 1533-position model. The record is from RNAcentral.
AUUGAACGCUGGCGGCAGGCCUAACACAUGCAAGUCGAGCGGAUGAAGGGAGCUUGCUCCUGGAUUCAGCGGCGGACGGGUUAGUAAUGCCUAGGAAUCUGCCUGGUAGUGGGGGAUAACGUCCGGAAACGGGCGCUAAUACCGCAUACGUCCUGAGGGAGAAAGUGGGGGAUCUUCGGACCUCACGCUAUCAGAUGAGCCUAGGUCGGAUUAGCUAGUUGGUGGGGUAAAGGCCUACCAAGGCGACGAUCCGUAACUGGUCUGAGAGGAUGAUCAGUCACACUGGAACUGAGACACGGUCCAGACUCCUACGGGAGGCAGCAGUGGGGAAUAUUGGACAAUGGGCGAAAGCCUGAUCCAGCCAUGCCGCGUGUGUGAAGAAGGUCUUCGGAUUGUAAAGCACUUUAAGUUGGGAGGAAGGGCAGUAAGUUAAUACCUUGCUGUUUUGACGUUACCAACAGAAUAAGCACCGGCUAACUUCGUG